UUUCCGUAGGUGAACCUGCGGAAGGAUCAUUAUCGAGUUUUGAACGGGUUGUAGCUGGCCUCAUACGGGGCAUGUGCACGCCUGGCUCAUCCACUCUUCGACCUCUGUGCACUUAUUGUAGAUCGGUGACAAGGUCGAGUUCUUUUAUUAGUUCUUGACUGGAAACCUUUCUACGUUUUUACUACAAACGCUUCAGUUAUAGAAUGUUUAUCUGCGUAUAACGCAUCUUUAUACAACUUUCAGCAACGGAUCUCUUGGCUCUCGCAUCGAUGAAGAACGCAGCGAAAUGCGAUAAGUAAUGUGAAUUGCAGAAUUCAGUGAAUCAUCGAAUCUUUGAACGCACCUUGCGCUCCCUGGUAUUCCGGGGAGCAUGCCUGUUUGAGUGUCAUGGAAUUCUCAACUCUUAAUACUUUUUUGUAUCAAGAGCUUGGACUUGGAGGCUUGUGCUGGCUGCUCGUUCAGUCGGCUCCUCUGAAAUGCAUUAGCGUGAAUUAAUAUGGAUCGCUUCGGUGUGAUAAUUAUCUGCGCCGUAGUCGUGAAGUACUUUAUAACGUUUACGCUUCUAAUCGUCCUUCACGGGACAAUUAAACCCUGACUUUUUGACCUCAAAUCAGGUAGGACUACCC
This 626-nucleotide ribosomal RNA is filed under the name Oudemansiella canarii. Its description in RNAcentral is "eukaryotic LSU rRNA". The stretch from base 235 to 388 matches the Rfam family "5.8S ribosomal RNA". Lineage: Eukaryota; Fungi; Basidiomycota; Agaricomycetes; Agaricales; Physalacriaceae. The record is from RNAcentral.